AGAGUUUGAUCCUGGCUCAGAUUGAACGCUGGCGGCGUGCUUAACACAUGCAAGUCGAACGCGAAAGGGACUUCGGUCCUGAGUAAAGUGGCGCACGGGUGAGUAACACGUGGAUAAUCUGCCCCUAUGAUCGGGAUAACAGUCGGAAACGGCUGCUAAUACCGGAUACGCUCAAAAUGAACUUUUUGAGGAAAGGUGACCUCUGCUUGCAUGUUACCGUAUAGGGAUGAGUCCGCGUCCCAUUAGCUUGUUGGUGGGGUAAAGGCCUACCAAGGCAACGAUGGGUAGCCUAUUUGAGAGGAUGAUCGGCCACACUGGGACUGAAACACGGCCCAGACUCCUACGGGAGGCAGCAGUGGGGAAUAUUGCGCAAUGGGCGAAAGCCUGACGCAGCGACGCCGCGUGAGGGGAUGAAGGUUUUCGGAUCGUAAACCUCUGUCAGAAGGGAAGAAACCGCACUGUGCUAAUCANCAGUGCCUUGACGGUACCUUCAAAGGAAGCACCGGCUAACUCCGUGCCAGCAGCCGCGGGAAAUACCGAGGGUGGCAAGGCCUUAAUGCGAAAUUACUGGGGCCUAAAGCCGCACGGGGGCUGCUUUUGAAGGCCAGGGCGGAAAUCGCCCGGGCCAG
RNAcentral lists this ribosomal RNA (629 nucleotides) under uncultured bacterium. RNAcentral describes it as "bacterial SSU rRNA". It matches the Rfam family "Bacterial small subunit ribosomal RNA", at positions 8 to 612 of the family's 1533-position model. The record is from RNAcentral.